UACGAAGGGGGCUAGCGUUGCUCGGAAUUACUGGGCGUAAAGCGCACGUAGGCGGAUCUUUAAGUCAGGGGUGAAAUCCUGGAGCUCAACUCCAGAACUGCCUUUGAUACUGAGGGCCUUGAGUUCGGGAGAGGUGAGUGGAACUGCGAGUGUAGAGGUGAAAUUCGUAGAUAUUCGCAAGAACACCAGUGGCGAAGGCGGCUCACUGGCCCGAUACUGACGCUGAGGUGCGAAAGCGUGGGGAGCAAACAGG
Molecule: ribosomal RNA, 253 nt
Filed under: uncultured bacterium
Lineage: Bacteria
Description: partial 16S ribosomal RNA
Rfam family: Bacterial small subunit ribosomal RNA
Source: RNAcentral